Molecule: ribosomal RNA, 497 nt
Filed under: uncultured bacterium
Lineage: Bacteria
Description: partial 16S ribosomal RNA
Rfam family: Bacterial small subunit ribosomal RNA
Source: RNAcentral
GAUGAACGCUGGCGGCGUGCCUAAUACAUGCAAGUCGAGCGAACGGACGAGAAGCUUGCUUCUCUGAUGUUAGCGGCGGACGGGUGAGUAACACGUGGAUAACCUACCUAUAAGACGGGGAUAACUUCGGGAAACCGGAGCUAAUACCGGAUAAUAUUUUGAACCGCAUGGUUCAAAAGUGAAAGACGGUCUUGCUGUCACUUAUAGAUGGAUCCGCGCUGCAUUAGCUAGUUGGUAAGGUAACGGCUUACCAAGGCAACGAUGCAUAGCCGACCUGAGAGGGUGAUCGGCCACACUGGAACUGAGACACGGUCCAGACUCCUACGGGAGGCAGCAGUAGGGAAUCUUCCGCAAUGGGCGAAAGCCUGACGGAGCAACGCCGCGUGAGUGAUGAAGGUCUUCGGAUCGUAAAACUCUGUUAUUAGGGAAGAACAUAUGUGUAAGUAACUGUGCACAUCUUGACGGUACCUAAUCAGAAAGCCACGGCUAACUACGUG